GAAAUGCGAAAAGUAGUGUGAAUUGCAGAAUUCAGUGAAUCAUCGAAUCUUUGAACGCACAUUGCGCCCCUUGGUAUUCCAUGGGGCAUGCCUGUUCGAGCGUCAUUUGUACCUUCAAGCACUGCUUGGUGUUGGGUGUUUGUCCCCGUUUUACAUGUGGGACUCGCCUUAAAGUGAUUGGCAGCCGGCGUAUAAGCCUUGGAGCGCAGCACAUUUUGCGCCCCUCGGCCUGAACGUUGGCGUCCAGUAAGCCUAUACUUUUGCUCUUGACCUCGGAUCAGGUAGGGAUACCCGCUGAACUUAA
RNAcentral lists this unclassified non-coding RNA (304 nucleotides) under uncultured Ascomycota. RNAcentral's name for it is "sequence contains ITS1". The stretch from base 1 to 105 matches the Rfam family "5.8S ribosomal RNA", at positions 50 to 154 of the family's 154-position model. Lineage: Eukaryota; Fungi; Ascomycota. The record is from RNAcentral.